GGCUGCUUUGUAAUCCUAGCUUGUAGUCCUCAGCUUGUCUUUCAUUCCGAUUCCCUCAUUAUUUCUUCUUUCCAGUAAUAUUUUGCAGACUUAUCAGCUGUGACCCCGGACAUUGCCUAGGUGCUGUCCGAGUCCUCUGGCCUGCCUUCCUUCCUCACCAUCCAUCGGGCACCUGACUGUUCACCCUGGAAUAGUUCUCCAUUAAAGGCCAGUCCUCAGAAGCCGACCAUGCCUGCAAACAGCGUGGCGUCAACGUGCCUGGAUUCGCACACCCCAGGAACCACCCCACCCUUUUUUGGUGUUUUCAAGGAGGGAGUGAAGACCAAACCAUUUGAACAAGAAAAGAAGACAAAAACCAAACAAAAAGGAAAUGAAAAGUUCUCUGUCACUUUUCCUCACUGGCUGCAGCACAA
Molecule: long non-coding RNA, 413 nt
Organism: Rhinolophus ferrumequinum (greater horseshoe bat)
Lineage: Eukaryota; Metazoa; Chordata; Mammalia; Chiroptera; Rhinolophidae
Exons: 3
Source: RefSeq, a predicted model, not a curated record